This 497-nucleotide ribosomal RNA is filed under the name uncultured bacterium. RNAcentral's name for it is "partial 16S ribosomal RNA". It matches the Rfam family "Bacterial small subunit ribosomal RNA", at positions 28 to 507 of the family's 1533-position model. The record is from RNAcentral.
GAUGAACGCUGGCGGCGUGCCUAAUACAUGCAAGUCGAGCGAACGGACGAUAAGCUUGCUUCUCUGAUGUUAGCGGCGGACGGGUGAGUAACACGUGGAUAACCUACCUAUAAUACGGGGAUAACUUCGGGAGACCGGUGCUAAUACCGGAUGAUAUUUUGAACGGCAUGGUUCAAGAGUGAAAGACGGUCUUGCUGUCACUUAUAGAUGGAGCCGCGCUGCAUUAGCUAGUUGGUAAGGUAACGGCUUACCAAGGCAACGAUGCAUAGCCGACCUGAGAGGGUGAUCGGCCACACUGGAACUGAGACACGGUCCAGACUCCUACGGGAGGCAGCAGUAGGGAAUAUUCCGCAAUGGGCGAAAGCCUGAUGGAGCAAUGCCGCGUGAGUGAUGAAGGUCUUCGGAUCGUAAAACUCUGUUAUUAGGGAAGAACAUAUGUGUAAUUAAACGUGCACAUCUUGACGGUACCUAAUCAGAAAGCAACGGCUAACUACGUG